This 610-nucleotide long non-coding RNA is filed under the name Ananas comosus (pineapple). RNAcentral describes it as "long non-coding RNA (ACOM_LNC003418)". Lineage: Eukaryota; Viridiplantae; Streptophyta; Magnoliopsida; Poales; Bromeliaceae. The record is from RNAcentral.
UUACUAUCCCACCAGAUGUCACACCCCAAUAAUUCUAUAGCGGAUAAGAAUGGAGAUGUGAUUAGAUAUAUAUAAGAUUUAGACACUAGUAAUAAUAACUGGGUUUAAACAUUUUGGGUCGGUGGUUGGGCCCAACGAGUUAUUGUUGUUAGUGGGCUGAGUCGUUACAAUUGGUAUCAGAGCCAAUCACCAGCCGAAAAUGUGUGGCGAGUUUCGGCUGAGUCUGGGUCUGAAAGACAAGAUGAUAGGUUAUGCCAGGGUCUUGAUGACAAGACUAGCAAGAUGAGUCUCACACUCGCUUGGUGAUUUUGGACUGUGUGUGUGAUUGGACUGACAAGGACGUCAGAAACUUAAUCGGAAAAAUCUAUCACACCCUAAUAAUCCCACAUCGGAUAGGAAUGGAAAUGUGAUUGGGUAUAUCAUAUUCCAAUAAUCCCACAUCGGAUAUGAAUGGAGAUGUGAUUGGGUAUAUAAGAGAUUUACACACUAGUAAUAAUAACUGGGCUUAAGCAUUUUGGGCUGGUGGUUGGGUCCAACGAGUUAUUCUUGCUAGUGGGUUUGGUCGUUACACUAGGUUUAUUACUAGGUCAAACUUGAGAAGCUAGAAGUG